UUUGUCUCUAGAGCUUCUGCAGGUUAAGUCGUGGGCGCUUUUUCUAUGCAUGCAUUAAAGGGAUAAUGAAACAGUCAUGUCACAUAAUGUGGCAGCCAUGAAAAGUCUUGACUUCUGAUUUACUCUGUAUUGUGCUUUUGGUUUCAGUCUUAGUUUUCUGUGGUCCUGUCUAUGAUUUGACAUUUUAAUUCAUAGAGGACUCCAAGGUUAAAAAUUGAAGCAAAGAAGCCAUACAAUGAAUUGUAUGACAUAAAUAUUGUUUUAUAACAUCUACCUUAUUAAACUAAUAAUUGCCAUGGUAUAUAAUUGCCCUCGAGAGUUGAUUUAUUUUGGUCGAAACUUAGAACAUAUACUAGACUUUUCCUCCAUUUGGGGACAAUUUAUGACAUGCUGCCUGCUCAAAUUAUGAGGAUGUAACUCAUUUUUUGUUCUCCAUCCCCAUGAAGAACAAAGUGAGGAAAGGAUGAUGU
Molecule: unclassified non-coding RNA, 470 nt
Filed under: Hevea brasiliensis (rubber tree)
Lineage: Eukaryota; Viridiplantae; Streptophyta; Magnoliopsida; Malpighiales; Euphorbiaceae
Source: RNAcentral